ACUCUUUUAGUUUAUUAAUAAAACAUAACUCUGAAGAAGUUAAGAAAGAUAGGAGUG
This 57-nucleotide transfer RNA is filed under the name Litoditis aff. marina PmI. RNAcentral describes it as "tRNA-Phe". The record is from RNAcentral. Lineage: Eukaryota; Metazoa; Nematoda; Chromadorea; Rhabditida; Rhabditidae.